This 282-nucleotide unclassified non-coding RNA is filed under the name uncultured fungus. RNAcentral's name for it is "partial contains small subunit ribosomal RNA, internal transcribed spacer 1, and 5.8S ribosomal RNA". The stretch from base 1 to 73 matches the Rfam family "Eukaryotic small subunit ribosomal RNA", at positions 1759 to 1831 of the family's 1831-position model. Lineage: Eukaryota; Fungi. The record is from RNAcentral.
GCAAACUUGGUCAUUUAGAGGAAGUAAAAGUCGUAACAAGGUCUCCGUUGGUGAACCAGCGGAGGGAUCAUUACAGGGUCUCACGACUCUCAAACCCAACCGUGCUCUAAACUUUUCUUACUGCUGCGGCGGGCCGCUCGCUGGGGGAGCUAUGGCCUGUAUAGGUGGCCCGCCAAAGCAACAUUUUAAAACACUUUUUGAAAGCUAUUAAAACACUUUCUAUAAAGAAUCACAACUCAUAACAAUGGAUCUCUUGGCUCUGGCAUCGAUGAAGAACGCAGC